CAAUAGCGUAUAUUAAAGUUGUUGCAGUUAAAAAGCUCGUAGUUGAAUUUCGGGUCCCCGCGCUCGGCGCUUCAUUGUGCCGUCGUGGUGUCCCUCCUCGCCGUAAGGCGUCCUUUACUGUGAAAAAAUUAGAGUGUUCAAAGCAGGCAAUCGUUUGAAUACAUUAGCAUGGAAUAAUAAGAUAGGAUCUUGUCUAUUUUGUUGGUUGCGGACAACGAUAAUGAUUAAUAGGGAUAGUUGGGGGUGUCCGUAUUGAGCUGUCAGAGGUGAAAUUCUUGGAUUUGCUCAAGACGAACUACUGCGAAAGCAUUCACCAAGGAUGUUUUCAUUAA
RNAcentral lists this ribosomal RNA (332 nucleotides) under uncultured eukaryote. Its description in RNAcentral is "partial 18S ribosomal RNA". It matches the Rfam family "Eukaryotic small subunit ribosomal RNA", at positions 592 to 976 of the family's 1831-position model. The record is from RNAcentral.